AAUGAACGCUGGCGGCAUGCCUAACACAUGCAAGUCGAACGACAGCACAGUAAGCGCUUUCUCCUGCGGGUGGCGAGUGGCGGACGGGUGAGGCAUACAUCGCAUACCUCUUUGACUGGGGUGAUAACGGGGGAAAACUUACGCUAAUACCGCAUACGUCCUACGGGUGAAAGCAGGAGUUCUACGGACUUUUCGUGACUGUAAGAGCCGAUGUCGGAUUAGCUAGUUGGCUGGGUAAAGGCCCACCAAGGCGACGAUGCGUAGCUGAUCUGAGAGGAUGAUCAGCCACACUGGAACUGAGACACGGUCCAGACUCCUACGGGAGGCAGCAGUGGGGAAUCUUGCGCAAUGGGCGAAAGCCUGAUCCAGCAAUACCGCGUGAGUGAAGAAGGCCUUCGGAUUGUAAAGCCCUGUUGUUAGGAAAGAAAAGAAGCAGGUUAAUCCGUCGCUGUCCUGACGGUACCCAAAGAAUAAGCACCGGCUAACUUCGUG
This 492-nucleotide ribosomal RNA is filed under the name uncultured bacterium. RNAcentral describes it as "partial 16S ribosomal RNA". It matches the Rfam family "Bacterial small subunit ribosomal RNA", at positions 29 to 507 of the family's 1533-position model. The record is from RNAcentral.